RNAcentral lists this ribosomal RNA (506 nucleotides) under uncultured bacterium. RNAcentral's name for it is "partial 16S ribosomal RNA". It matches the Rfam family "Bacterial small subunit ribosomal RNA", at positions 29 to 523 of the family's 1533-position model. The record is from RNAcentral.
AGUGAACGCUGGCGGUAGGCCUAACACAUGCAAGUCGAACGGCAGCACAGGAGAGCUUGCUCUCUGGGUGGCGAGUGGCGGACGGGUGAGGAAUACAUCGGAAUCUACUUUUUCGUGGGGGAUAACGUAGGGAAACUUACGCUAAUACCGCAUACGACCUACGGGUGAAAGCAGGGGAUCUUCGGACCUUGCGCGAUUGAAUGAGCCGAUGUCGGAUUAGCUAGUUGGCGGGGUAAAGGCCCACCAAGGCGACGAUCCGUAGCCGGUCUGAGAGGAUUAUCAGCCACACUGGAACUGAGACACGGUCCAGACUCCUACGGGAGGCAGCAGUGGGGAAUAUUGGACAAUGGGCGCAAGCCUGAUCCAGCCAUACCGCGUGGGCGAAGAAGGCCUUCGGGUUGUAAAGCCCUUUUGUUGGGAAAGAAAUCCAGCUGGUUAAUACCCGGUUGGGAUGACGGUACCCAAAGAAUAAGCACCGGCUAACUUCGUGCCAGCCGCCGCGGUAA